Ictidomys tridecemlineatus (thirteen-lined ground squirrel) is the source of this 72-nucleotide non-coding RNA. NCBI's taxonomy places the organism in Eukaryota, Metazoa, Chordata, Mammalia, Rodentia, Sciuridae. The record is from Rfam.
AGGGUUGUAACUCAGUGGUAGAGUGCUUGCCUCUCACGCAUGAGGCUCUGGGUUCGAUCCUCAGCACCACAU